Carassius auratus (goldfish) is the source of this 316-nucleotide long non-coding RNA. RefSeq lists it as uncharacterized. The record is from RefSeq and is a predicted model, not a curated record. NCBI's taxonomy places the organism in Eukaryota, Metazoa, Chordata, Actinopteri, Cypriniformes, Cyprinidae. The transcript is spliced from 2 exons.
AACACACACACACCGACUGCGAUCGACGGAGACGACUUCUGUCUGACAACAUCCCGGAAGUGACGUCACCGCGACCCGAGCGCGUCACACCUACCAAAGGAAUUCGUUCUUGCAGUGUUAGUGCAAACCAGUGGGAAAGCAGCAAAUGACCGACAGCCCACACACUUUGGAGCACGUCAGGACACCCACUUUCCCCUUGAUUGUCACAGAAGAGCAUGGAGAGCCACGGGAAGCAACAACCAGUUGAAGGCGGAUCAGGACACUUCACCAGGCACCCUUCACGUUUCAAUAAAUCCACCCUCCGUUGGCAUUUAAU